Acomys russatus (golden spiny mouse) is the source of this 501-nucleotide long non-coding RNA. RefSeq lists it as uncharacterized. NCBI's taxonomy places the organism in Eukaryota, Metazoa, Chordata, Mammalia, Rodentia, Muridae. The record is from RefSeq and is a predicted model, not a curated record. The transcript is spliced from 3 exons.
GGGGGACUGAGAUUUAAACCACACUCUUCCUGACACAGAAACCCCAUUUUUUUCCUCCCUUGAAUGAGCCCAUAGCCCAACAUUCAAGGGUCCAGCUGCUUUGCUGUUUUCCCAGAAAAGGGCUCUGGCUGGCCAGGCCUGGGAGGGCCUAGGCACCCAGACAGGCAGCAGCUGGCUGCAGUCCAGUCCCAGCUAUGCGGCUGGAGAAGCUGUUUAUGAACUCUGCCUGUCUGAGCCCUGGAAGCCCAGCUACCCCAGCUGGGACUUUUCACAGAUGACCCAGCAGGCAGGCUCCCUUGGUACCACUAGCCUUAUGUUUGGCGCUUGGGAGGCAAGCUGAGGCUGUGUGGACAGAGGUGAGGAGGGCGUGAUGGUGACUGUGUGCACUCAAAUACUCAGCAGAGAGAAGAAAGGGCUGAUUCUGAGGGUUUUAAAUGGAGUCACCUGGUAGUAGAAGGCGGUGGGGAGCAGGAAUUGGCCUGUCGUCUAACAGACUCAAGG